RNAcentral lists this ribosomal RNA (268 nucleotides) under uncultured bacterium. RNAcentral describes it as "partial 16S ribosomal RNA". It matches the Rfam family "Bacterial small subunit ribosomal RNA", at positions 1234 to 1500 of the family's 1533-position model. The record is from RNAcentral.
ACGGUACAACGAGUCGCAAGCUCGCGAGAGUAAGCUAAUCUCUUAAAGCCGUUCUCAGUUCGGACUGUAGGCUGCAACUCGCCUACACGAAGUCGGAAUCGCUAGUAAUCGCGGAUCAGCGUGCCGCGGUGAAUACGUUCCCGGGCCUUGUACACACCGCCCGUCACACCAUGGGAGUUUGUAACGCCCAAAGUCGGUGGCCUAACCUUUAUGGAGGGAGCCGCCUAAGGCGGGACAGAUGACUGGGGUGAAGUCGUAACAAGGUACC